AACGAACGCUGGCGGCAUGCCUAACACAUGCAAGUCGAACGAUCCCUUCGGGGAUAGUGGCGCACGGGUGCGUAACGCGUGGGAACCUGCCCUUGGGUUCGGAAUAACUCAGAGAAAUUUGAGCUAAUACCGGAUAAUGUCUUCGGACCAAAGAUUUAUCGCCUUUGGAUGGGCCCGCGUUGGAUUAGCUAGUUGGUGGGGUAAAGGCCUACCAAGGCGACGAUCCAUAGCUGGUCUGAGAGGAUGAUCAGCCACACUGGGACUGAGACACGGCCCAGACUCCUACGGGAGGCAGCAGUGGGGAAUAUUGGACAAUGGGCGAAAGCCUGAUCCAGCAAUGCCGCGUGAGUGAUGAAGGCCUUAGGGUUGUAAAGCUCUUUUACCCGGGAUGAUAAUGACAGUACCGGGAGAAUAAGCCCCGGCUAACUCCGUG
Molecule: ribosomal RNA, 433 nt
Filed under: uncultured bacterium
Lineage: Bacteria
Description: partial 16S ribosomal RNA
Rfam family: Bacterial small subunit ribosomal RNA
Source: RNAcentral